GAGUGAACGCUGGCGGUAGGCCUAACACAUGCAAGUCGAACGGCAGCACAGUAAGAGCUUGCUCUUACGGGUGGCGAGUGGCGGACGGGUGAGGAAUACAUCGGAAUCUACUUUUUCGUGGGGGAUAACGUAGGGAAACUUACGCUAAUACCGCAUCCGACCUACGGGUGAACGCAGGGGAUCUUCGGACCUUGCGCGAUUGAAUGAGCCGAUGUCGGAUUAGCUAGUUGGCGGGGUAAAGGCCCACCAAGGCGACGAUCCGUAGCUGGUCUGAGAGGAUGAUCAGCCACACUGGAACUGAGACACGGUCCAGACUCCUACGGGAGGCAGCAGUGGGGAAUAUUGGACAAUGGGCGCAAGCCUGAUCCAGCCAUACCGCGUGGGUGAAGAAGGCCUUCGGGUUGUAAAGCCCUUUUGUUGGGAAAGAAAAGCAGCAGGUUAAUACCCCGCUGUUCUGACGGUACCCAAAGAAUAAGCACCGGCUAACUUCGUG
This 493-nucleotide ribosomal RNA is filed under the name uncultured bacterium. Its description in RNAcentral is "partial 16S ribosomal RNA". It matches the Rfam family "Bacterial small subunit ribosomal RNA", at positions 27 to 507 of the family's 1533-position model. The record is from RNAcentral.